GACCAUCGUGUCUCUACACGGAGACAAGAUGGAGAGAGUUGAGACGUCGUGGGACGUAUCUUAAUCUGGCUGGACAACGUCUGUCAUCCCAGAGCCAGAAAAGCAGCACUGAGGGCCACGGCCUUGCUGGCUCGUUCCCACCCCCAGGACGUGGUUCUGAGCUGUGUGGCACACACGCUGUCCUCGGACAGAUGUGCCAUUGAGCUGUGGAAGGCCCUGGGGAA
Long non-coding RNA from Mauremys reevesii (Reeves's turtle), 224 nucleotides. RefSeq lists it as uncharacterized. The record is from RefSeq and is a predicted model, not a curated record. The transcript is spliced from 3 exons. Lineage: Eukaryota; Metazoa; Chordata; Testudines; Geoemydidae.